Long non-coding RNA from Oreochromis aureus, 1052 nucleotides. The record is from Ensembl. Lineage: Eukaryota; Metazoa; Chordata; Actinopteri; Cichliformes; Cichlidae.
AAGGCAGGAGCGUGAGGUGAACUGAAUUUCAGGAACAAGAGAUGAUGGCUGUAACUCAGAAGGUAGAGCAGGUCGUCUGCUAAUUCGAAGGUUGGUGGUUUAAAUAUUCUUGAGCAAGGUACUAAUCCCAGUUUUCUCUCUAAUGCAUCUAUUGUGGAUGACUGAUAUGAAUGUGUUCUAAUGUUAGCUGGGAAGCACUUAUAAAGAAAAUGUUUGUUUUUUUAAAGUGCUGUUGUGAAAUGGGGCAAGUUGUAUUAAUUUGAGUGCUCAGGCAGAGUAGAAAAGUACCAUAUAAGAACCGGAAGAUUUACCAAAAGCACAUGGGUGCAGCUUACACAGGGGCCAAGUCCCAGCAAGCCCCAGUCCCAGCCAUGCAUACACACACAACACAGCCACCCUGUAGUGUAGUGGGCACAUUUUAAACAACAAAUUGCUUUGCAAGAGGAAGCUGCCACACUGACCCAACUCUCAGCGAAAAGGUGAGGUGCGGGGGACGCUGGAAAGGAGAAUGAUGGGUUUGAGACCAGGUUGGAGCUUGCAGAGGAGGUUGUUGUGGGGUUGAACUAACCUGGUUACACGAGUGUGAACUGAGACAGUUUUGAGUUAGCUGAUUGUAUCAUACAGCUGUUCUGAUAGGAUAGAUAAAAUCUUAUGGCGACAGAAUACAAUGUGAGACAGUUUGAUGAGUCUGAAUGCACUGAGAACUGAAGUGAGAGUUUAACUGGGCAAGUGGCUGGGAGCUCUGUGAAGGUGAGGAGAGGACAAAUGGUGUUAAUUGAGUUGAAAAUGGAAAUGUUUCAGGUCAAGAAGCGGGUCUACGGGAUCUGAGUUAAAUAGUAUCAUCAAUAGAGAGUGGGCUAGUGUGGCUGACCAAUUGCUGAGGCCAUUCCUCUGCAGAUGAUCUGUUAGCUGUUUGACAAAGUGAUGGCUUUUUAAUUAGUGGUUAAAUUACUGCCACGUUAAAGGCCUGUGGUACAUAGCCUAUUAACAGAAAUAGGUUGAUCAUAUUUAAGAUUGAAGCAUUAAUUAAUGGCAGGACAUCUUUGAUCCUG